GACGAACGCUGGCGGCGUGCCUAAUACAUGCAAGUAGAACGCACAGUUUAUACCGUAGCUUGCUACACCAUAGACUGUGAGUUGCGAACGGGUGAGUAACGCGUAGGUAACCUGCCUGGUAGCGGGGGAUAACUAUUGGAAACGAUAGCUAAUACCGCAUAAUAUUAAUUAUUGCAUGAUAAUUAAUUGAAAGGUGCAAUUGCACCACUACCAGAUGGACCUGCGUUGUAUUAGCUAGUAGGUGAGGUAACGGCUCACCUAGGCGACGAUACAUAGCCGACCUGAUAGGGUGAUCGGCCACACUGGGACUGAGACACGGCCCAGACUCCUACGGGAGGCAGCAGUAGGGAAUCUUCGGCAAUGGACGAAAGUCUGACCGAGCAACGCCGCGUGAGUGAAGAAGGUUUUCGGAUCGUAAAGCUCUGUUGUAAGAGAAGAACGGGUGUGAGAGUGGAAAGUUCACACUGUGACGGUAUCUUACCAGAAAGGGACGGCUAACUACGUG
This 505-nucleotide ribosomal RNA is filed under the name uncultured bacterium. Its description in RNAcentral is "partial 16S ribosomal RNA". It matches the Rfam family "Bacterial small subunit ribosomal RNA", at positions 28 to 507 of the family's 1533-position model. The record is from RNAcentral.